GUCUGGCUGGCUCAGUCUUUAGAGCAUGUGAUUCUUGAUCUCAGGGUCAUGAGUUUGAGCCCCAUGUUGGGUG
RNAcentral lists this transfer RNA (73 nucleotides) under Ailuropoda melanoleuca (giant panda). It matches the Rfam family "tRNA". From Rfam's summary of the family: Transfer RNA (tRNA) molecules are approximately 80 nucleotides in length. Their secondary structure includes four short double-helical elements and three loops (D, anti-codon, and T loops). The record is from Rfam by way of RNAcentral. Lineage: Eukaryota; Metazoa; Chordata; Mammalia; Carnivora; Ursidae.